This 79-nucleotide small nucleolar RNA is filed under the name Nicotiana attenuata. RNAcentral's name for it is "Small nucleolar RNA Z159/U59". It matches the Rfam family "Small nucleolar RNA Z159/U59". Rfam says of the family: This family consists of several snoRNA Z159 or U59 sequences which are members of the C/D class of snoRNA which contain the C (UGAUGA) and D (CUGA) box motifs. This family seems to be found exclusively in rice. The record is from Rfam by way of RNAcentral. Lineage: Eukaryota; Viridiplantae; Streptophyta; Magnoliopsida; Solanales; Solanaceae.
UUGUCUAAUGAUGAUUAUUGAAACAUUUACUGAGAUUUUAUCAUGCUGAAAAAUAUUUGGAGACCUGAACUGAAGAAUC